This 561-nucleotide ribosomal RNA is filed under the name uncultured bacterium. Its description in RNAcentral is "partial 16S ribosomal RNA". It matches the Rfam family "Bacterial small subunit ribosomal RNA", at positions 355 to 1376 of the family's 1533-position model. The record is from RNAcentral.
UGGGGAAUCUUAGACAAUGGGGGAAACCCUGAUCUAGCCAUGCCGCGUGAGCGAUGAAGGCCUUAGGGUUGUAAAGCUCUUUCAGCUGGGAAGAUAAUGACGGUACCAGCAGAAGAAGCCCCGGCUAACUCCGUGCCAGCAGCCGCGGUAAUACGGAGGGGGCUAGCGUUGUUCGGAAUUACUGGGCGUAAAGCGCACGUAGGCGGAUUAGUCAGUCAGAGGUGAAAUCCCAGGGCUCAACCCUGGAACUGCCUUUGAUACUGCUAGUCUUGAGGUCGAGAGAGGUGAGUGGAAUUCCGAGUGUAGAGGUGAAAUUCGUAGAUAUUCGGAGGAACACCAGUGGCGAAGGCGGCUCACUGGCUCGAUACUGACGCUGAGGUGCGAAAGCGUGGGGAGCGAACAGGAUUAGAUACCCUGGUAGUCCACGCCGUAAACGAUGAAUGCCAGUCGUCGGGUUGCAUGCAAUUCGGUGACACACCUAACGGAUUAAGCAUUCCGCCUGGGGAGUACGGUCGCAAGAUUAAAACUCAAAGGAAUUGACGGGGUCAUAGCUGUUUCCUG